RNAcentral lists this long non-coding RNA (550 nucleotides) under Brachypodium distachyon (stiff brome). RNAcentral's name for it is "long non-coding RNA (BDIS_LNC004141)". The record is from RNAcentral. Lineage: Eukaryota; Viridiplantae; Streptophyta; Magnoliopsida; Poales; Poaceae.
GCUUACAAUAAGAAAUUAUGGCACAUGCGUAUAAAAUGGUAUUAUCUCCAAAUUAGAAUGUGAAUACAACUAACUAUUAUAUUUUCAACAUAUGAAAGAUUCUCUUGUCCAAGCAAUGUGGAAUAAACUAAACCAAUCAUUAUUCUCACAUAAGUAAACAUCACUACUGCUAAUUUGGAAUCACCUAGCAGCAAGGCACCUUGGUCCAUGACGUGCUGAUACCAUGUUCUCACAUAAGUAAACAUCACUACUGCUAAUUUGGAAUCACCUAGCAGCAAGGCACCUUGGUCCAUGACGUGCUGAUACCAUGGUACUUUGCCCAGGUAUUGUACCAGUACUGACAUGUAUACCAAGUACAGGUAUGGCAGGGUACAUACAAACACAUACCUAGAACACACCAGAAAUACUGGUUUUAAAAAUAAAUGAGAUUUAAAUCAGGUACUUUUAUGGGUACAUUUUGGCCCAAUAAAGGCCCAGCACAACAGGGAUUGUAAACCGGAUCUGGAGGCUGGAGCAGGGCAUGGCACAGGCACCACCCAAUCUCACUCAC